GUGCUUGCUUUGGAAGCACAUAUAUUAAAAUUACAACGAAACAGAAGAUUAGCAUGGCCCCUACGCAAGGACAACAUGCAAAUUUGUGAAGCAUUCCAUAGUUUU
This 105-nucleotide small nuclear RNA is filed under the name Microcebus murinus (gray mouse lemur). Lineage: Eukaryota; Metazoa; Chordata; Mammalia; Primates; Cheirogaleidae. The record is from RNAcentral.